This is a long non-coding RNA of Homo sapiens (human), 1056 nucleotides long. RefSeq annotates it as long independently transcribed non-coding RNA 1955. The transcript is spliced from 2 exons. NCBI's taxonomy places the organism in Eukaryota, Metazoa, Chordata, Mammalia, Primates, Hominidae. The record is from RefSeq and is a predicted model, not a curated record.
ACUGUGUUAAAAGGAACAAUAUUAGAGUUUUUGACCAGAGUGACUGAGGAGCUCACAGGAGUACAGGGUGUAUAAGUCCCACCAAAGAUUCCAUGUGCCUUGGGACUGCCCCAUCCCAUUGGGAAUUCCAGUCUGGCUUCUUGGCAAUGGGUGCCUGGGCAACAGAGCAACAGAGCAACAGAGCAAGGUGGAGGAGAGAAGCCCUCCUGGUACCCAUCCCCACACCAGCAAGAGGGAGCGCCAGACUCACAGCCUACCAUCCCCUCCAGCCCCAGCCCACCUGACCUACAUCAGCCACCUUCUGAUUGAUUCUGUUUUUUCCUGGGGAAAAGGCCAAAAAGCCAUCUAGGCCUCAACCCCAGCAUCUCUGAACCUCUGACCCAGCCCUGGACUUCCCAAUUUCAGACUUCUUUCAGCUCCUGCUUCUUCGUCACAGGUACACCAGGGCAUCCAGCACAUUGAUUUGUCCCCACUCGCCUUAGCCUGUCUCCUGCCACAGUUGUCUCAUUUUGGUGAAGUGCGUGUCCAGGUUUCCCCGUGCUCCCAGCUGCAACAUGGAUCUGUGAAAGACAGUACAGCAGAAAAGUCUUCACAUCCUGGCUCUCUCUGCCCUUCAUUGUCUUUAAGCUCUUUAACAACUUUUACUUGGAGAGGAAAACAACUCUCUAGACAGGAACACGGAGCAGCAGAGGGAGAAAUUGUGUCUUUACUGAUUUCAGUCAAUUAUUGCAGUGACCACAUGUCUCAGGAGUGUUGAUGUCCAGAUGAGGGCUGACCCAUGAAAGGUCAGCAAGGAAAAAGGAGGACCUAAACUUUCCUCGGUUUGCAAGUUGUAAAAGACCCAUGGAAUGCCAACUAUCCUUGUCCAUGGACAUGUGGACAGACUGUCCAGUGGCUAUCAUCAAUUUUGCAUCUAUUUGUAAAUUCUAUGUCAGCAUUCCUAUUGUCCUAGCUAUGCGUGGCAUUUUUAAUUCUCCUUUGGGCUGGUUGUAGCAUCUUACUGGUUCCCUCAUUAAUUAAUGAACUAAAUAAAAUCUUUGACAUGUGUUCAUUUUA